CGAGCGAAUCGAUGGGAGCUUGCUCCCUGAGAUUAGCGGCGGACGGGUGAGUAACACGUGGGCAACCUGCCUAUAAGACUGGGAUAACUUCGGGAAACCGGAGCUAAUACCGGAUACGUUCUUUUCUCGCAUGAGAGAAGAUGGAAAGACGGUUUACGCUGUCACUUAUAGAUGGGCCCGCGGCGCAUUAGCUAGUUGGUGAGGUAAUGGCUCACCAAGGCGACGAUGCGUAGCCGACCUGAGAGGGUGAUCGGCCACACUGGGACUGAGACACGGCCCAGACUCCUACGGGAGGCAGCAGUAGGGAAUCUUCCGCAAUGGACGAAAGUCUGACGGAGCAACGCCGCGUGAACGAAGAAGGCCUUCGGGUCGUAAAGUUCUGUUGUUAGGGAAGAACAAGUACCAGAGUAACUGCUGGUACCUUGACGGUACCUAACCAGAAAGCCACGGCUAACUACGUGCCAGCAGCCGCGGUAAUACGUAGGUGGCAAGCGUUGUCCGGAAUUAUUGGGCGUAAAGCGCGCGCAGGUGGUUCCUUAAGUCUGAUGUGAAAGCCCACGGCUCAACCGUGGAGGGUCAUUGGAAACUGGGGAACUUGAGUGCAGAAGAGGAAAGUGGAAUUCCAAGUGUAGCGGUGAAAUGCGUAGAGAUUUGGAGGAACACCAGUGGCGAAGGCGAC
Molecule: ribosomal RNA, 679 nt
Filed under: Bacillus sp. FJAT-4550
Lineage: Bacteria; Bacillati; Bacillota; Bacilli; Caryophanales; Bacillaceae
Description: bacterial SSU rRNA
Rfam family: Bacterial small subunit ribosomal RNA
Source: RNAcentral